AAGUAUUUUUAAAAGAAAAUACUCUCCAACAGCAUUCCAGAGUAACUGGAGAGACUUUGACAGCCCAGGCCAGCACAGUGUCUGCAGCUGCCUCUCGACUUUCCUAUAUAU
Mesocricetus auratus (golden hamster) is the source of this 111-nucleotide small nucleolar RNA. The record is from Ensembl. NCBI's taxonomy places the organism in Eukaryota, Metazoa, Chordata, Mammalia, Rodentia, Cricetidae.